Molecule: non-coding RNA, 21 nt
Filed under: Arabidopsis thaliana (thale cress)
Lineage: Eukaryota; Viridiplantae; Streptophyta; Magnoliopsida; Brassicales; Brassicaceae
Source: RNAcentral
UGCGUUGCACUACUGCAUGGG